GAAUUAUGUAAGUUUCUUAUAUUAGUUCUUGUAGUACAAUGCAGUGUGCUUUUCUUGUUCUACAAUACUGAUAGAACACACUGACAAAACUCUCUCUCACACACACACACACACACACACACGGUGAAAAUAGGGACAGAAACACAAAAGCUUGGUGUGAAAAAGUGAUUGCAUGAUUACAAGGGCGUUCAAUUACAGCUAUUCACAAUGUCUGCACGUAAUCUGUUGAACAGCAUUCUUCGCACUCUGUCCCGGACAGACAGAGAAUUUUAACUACACUCUACCUGACUGCUGCUGAUUCAUGUUUCUCUCAGUUGAAUGAAAAGCAAGCAAGUAAAAACUUAGCAUUAGGCAGUUACACUCAAAGAAUAAAAAAAAAAAUCCAUAUCUACAUAUUUAUCUAUUUAGAGGUAUUCCAUUAGAAUUGUUUAGUCAUGUUUGCUAAUAUUGGUGAGCAUAUCAGUGCUAUUUUAUGAUUGAUAAAACCAUUUUCAAUCUAUUAAUUGUAGGCCAGCAACAAGCACUAAUUCGUGGUUCCAUUUUUAUUUUUCUUCUAUAGAAAUGAAGCCAGAAUUGACCAUCAUUUUACAGAAACAUCAGACUGCAGAGAACUCUGUACACAGCCUCUCAGCUCGGCUACAUAUAAUAAACCCCAUGUAAACAGGCAGCCAAAGCUGUCAAUCACUUUAUUUCUAAGUUGACCCCAGAAUAAUGAGGGGACGGGAGUUAGAGGAGAAAAAUGAGAUAGAAAAUUGUCAGUGAAACAUAUGGGGGUGGGGGACUGUUACUAGCCAACUGAGGGCCUGACCCUGUGGUGUCUUCACCUUUAAAUGUUGUGUUGUUCUUGUUUUCUUCACUCACAAUUGUAGAUGACAUGAAUCACAACAAGAGAAGUAAAGCGCACCAGAGAUCGCUCUCUAUCCUGGCUGGAGAGAGAAGAGGCAGCCAAUCCUGUACAGCAUACUCUCAACCGGAAAUGACCACCCACCCAAGGAGGACUGCAUCAAGCACUAUGGACAUUAACACAGGACAGUGUGCCAAUCCAUAUCUGGGUUUAGAGACAUAA
This 1066-nucleotide long non-coding RNA is filed under the name Astyanax mexicanus (Mexican tetra). RNAcentral describes it as "lncRNA (ENSAMXG00005010434.1)". Lineage: Eukaryota; Metazoa; Chordata; Actinopteri; Characiformes; Acestrorhamphidae. The record is from RNAcentral.